CGCUGGCGGCGUGCUUAACACAUGCAAGUCGAACGCGAAAGGGACUUCGGUCCUGAGUAAAGUGGCGCACGGGUGAGUAACGCGUAGAUAACCUGUCUUCAUGUCUGGAAUAAUACGCCGAAAGGGGUACUAAUACCGGAUAUUCUUGCUUUUCAUAAGUUAUGCAAGCAAAGGUGGCCUCUGCAUAUGCUACUGCAUGAAGAGGGGUCUGCGUACCAUUAGCUAGUAGGUGGGGUAAUGGCCUACCUAGGCGACGAUGGUUAGCGGGUCUGAGAGGAUGAUCCGCCACACUGGCACUGGAACACGGGCCAGACUCCUACGGGAGGCAGCAGUGAGGAAUAUUGCGCAAUGGGGGAAACCCUGACGCAGCGACGCCGCGUGAGUGAGGAAGGCCUUCGGGUCGUAAAGCUCUGUCAAGAGGAAAGAAGUGUACAAUGGCUAAUACCUGUUGUAUUUGACGGUACCUCUAAAGGAAGCACCGGCUAACUCCGUGCCAGCCGCGGC
RNAcentral lists this ribosomal RNA (504 nucleotides) under uncultured bacterium. Its description in RNAcentral is "bacterial SSU rRNA". It matches the Rfam family "Bacterial small subunit ribosomal RNA", at positions 34 to 518 of the family's 1533-position model. The record is from RNAcentral.